RNAcentral lists this ribosomal RNA (253 nucleotides) under uncultured bacterium. RNAcentral's name for it is "partial 16S ribosomal RNA". It matches the Rfam family "Bacterial small subunit ribosomal RNA", at positions 524 to 776 of the family's 1533-position model. The record is from RNAcentral.
UACGUAGGGUCCGAGCGUUGUCCGGAAUUAUUGGGCGUAAAGGGCUCGUAGGCGGUCUGUUGCGUCGGGAGUGAAAACUUACAGCUUAACUGUGAGCGUGCUUCCGAUUCGGGCAGACUUGAGGUAUUCGGGGGAGAACGGAAUUCCUGGUGUAGCGGUGAAAUGCGCAGAUAUCAGGAGGAACACCGGUGGCGAAGGCGGUUCUCUGGGAAUAUCCUGACGCUGAGGAGCGAAAGUGUGGGGAGCGAACGGG